This 387-nucleotide ribosomal RNA is filed under the name uncultured bacterium. Its description in RNAcentral is "bacterial SSU rRNA". It matches the Rfam family "Bacterial small subunit ribosomal RNA", at positions 28 to 417 of the family's 1533-position model. The record is from RNAcentral.
AUUGAACGCUGGCGGCAUGCUUUACACAUGCAAGUCGAGCGGCAGCGCGGGGGCAACCCUGGCGGCGAGCGGCGAACGGGUGAGUAAUGCAUCGGAACGUGUCCCGUAGUGGGGGAUAACGCCGCGAAAGCGGCGCUAAUACCGCAUAUGCUCUACGGAGGAAAGUGGGGGACCUGCAAGGGCCUCACGCUAUGGGAGCGGCCGAUGUCCGAUUAGCUAGUUGGGGGGUAAUGGCCUACCAAGGCGACGAUCGGUAGCUGGUCUGAGAGGAUGAUCAGCCACACUGGGACUGAGACACGGCCCAGACUCCUACGGGAGGCAGCAGUGGGGAAUUUUGGACAAUGGGGCAACCCUGAUCCAGCCAUGCCGCGUGCGGGAAGAAGGCCU